UACAGAGGGUGCGAGCGUUGUCCGGAAUCACUGGGCGUAAAGGGUGAGUAGGUGGCUGGGUAAGCGUGUGGUGAAAGUCCGGGGCUCAACCCCGGAUCUGCCGUGCGAACUGCUCAGCUCGAGCAAUGUAGAGGCAGGUGGAAUUUCGGGUGUAGCGGUGGAAUGCGUAGAUAUCCGAAAGAACACCAGUGGCGAAGGCGGCCUGCUGGGCAUUUGCUGACACUGAAUCACGGCAGCGUGGGGAGCAAACAGG
RNAcentral lists this ribosomal RNA (253 nucleotides) under uncultured bacterium. RNAcentral's name for it is "partial 16S ribosomal RNA". It matches the Rfam family "Bacterial small subunit ribosomal RNA", at positions 524 to 776 of the family's 1533-position model. The record is from RNAcentral.